AUUGAACGCUGGCGGCAUGCUUUACACAUGCAAGUCGAACGGCAGCGCGGGGCAACCUGGCGGCGAGUGGCGAACGGGUGAGUAAUAUAUCGGAACGUACCCAAGAGUGGGGGAUAACGUAGCGAAAGUUACGCUAAUACCGCAUACGAUCUAAGGAUGAAAGUGGGGGAUCGCAAGACCUCAUGCUCCUGGAGCGGCCGAUAUCUGAUUAGCUAGUUGGUGAGGUAAAGGCUCACCAAGGCGACGAUCAGUAGCUGGUCUGAGAGGACGACCAGCCACACUGGAACUGAGACACGGUCCAGACUCCUACGGGAGGCAGCAGUGGGGAAUUUUGGACAAUGGGCGCAAGCCUGAUCCAGCAAUGCCGCGUGAGUGAAGAAGGCCUUCGGGUUGUAAAGCUCUUUUGUCAGGGAAGAAACGGUAGAGGCUAAUAUCCUUUGCUAAUGACGGUACCUGAAGAAUAAGCACCGGCUAACUACGU
This 481-nucleotide ribosomal RNA is filed under the name uncultured bacterium. Its description in RNAcentral is "partial 16S ribosomal RNA". It matches the Rfam family "Bacterial small subunit ribosomal RNA", at positions 30 to 506 of the family's 1533-position model. The record is from RNAcentral.